Molecule: transfer RNA, 72 nt
Filed under: Deltaproteobacteria bacterium
Lineage: Bacteria; Pseudomonadati; Myxococcota; Myxococcia
Description: tRNA-Arg
Rfam family: tRNA
About the family: Transfer RNA (tRNA) molecules are approximately 80 nucleotides in length.
Source: RNAcentral
GCUCCCGUAGUUAAACGGAUAUAACGGUGGAUUGCGGUUCCGCUAUUUCAGGUUCGAGUCCUGACGGGAGCA